Vitis vinifera (wine grape) is the source of this 3687-nucleotide RNA transcript. It is a transcript of the gene named protein MAIN-LIKE 2, with no coding region annotated. Lineage: Eukaryota; Viridiplantae; Streptophyta; Magnoliopsida; Vitales; Vitaceae. The record is from RefSeq and is a predicted model, not a curated record. The transcript is spliced from 6 exons.
UAGAGCCCAGCCCAGAUUAGGGACAUGCGUUAUUCGUCUACUUCUUAACCGUAUGAUCGGCAUCGUAUCUCAACCAAGCAAGAGAUAAAAAAUAAAUGAAGGUUGAAAGAUAGAAUGGGAAUGCCUUGGCUGCCAUCCCUCCCGCAAAAUUAUUUUCAUCAGAGAAAAAGGCGAAAACAAAACUCAAUCCCUGAGGAUAAAUAAAAAACAAAAAACAAAAAAGAAACGGGAAAAUGAGAAACCCUAGGAGCCGGAUCGGAGGGAGAGAAGAAGAUGCAUCCUUACCCGUAAUCGGAACCCCCAAGGCAAGUCUUUCCACCCUAAAACGCCGUCGUUCCAUCAAAACGACGUCGUUCUUCUCCCAAGACGGUGUCGUUUCCCUGAAACGGCGUCGUUUUUUUUUUUCUUUUUUCUUUUUUCUUUUUUCUCUCUCAAAAAUUUAGAUUAAUUUUAGAUCUUCUCCGUGCGCUUUGGUGAGAAUUUCAGCCUUUAAAGGAUAUUAGAAGAAGAUGAGAGAAUGGAGUUAUAUAGUUGUCCUUAAAGAGGAAGUGGGGUGUUUUGGUUGUUCUUCUUCUCAAUAUAUUUGUGCAACUGUCGUGUACAGGGGGAGAGAGAAAGGAAAGGAUAAUAUAAAGAAAAUGUUGGGAAAAUUUUCCAAGUGUUUGUAUGUUGUGGAUGGAAUAGUGAAUGAAAUUGUCUUGUAUUCUAUUUUCAAUUUAUCAUCUGACAAACAGGAUUUAGAUUGUAAUUUGUAUAAACUUGGAACCCUAAAGAGGUUAAAGUCUUAGUAAAAUGGUGAGUGGUGUGGGGGUUGACACAUAUAUUUGGUUAAAUAUUCUGAAUAUUACAUGUAAACUAACUGUCCUUCUGAAGGACUGAGGUUGUGAAACAAGGUGUGUUCAGGUUCAGCACAUCUUCAGAAUUACUUCCUCAACUUGACAGCAGCCCAUAAAUCUCAUUUAUGGGGGUGUGAAGGGGAGAGGUAUGGGUUUGGCAAUUCAAGCUAUGGACACCUCAACUAGUUGGAAGUACCCAGGAGCAUCCAAAUCUGUUAAUUUUUAUAGGACUAGGAGUUGGAGUUUUCUUUUUCUUUGAAAUUUAACAUUUGUAUUAUUUAUUUAAAUGGGGUUGCUUUUUCUUUGCUCCUUUUUCCCUUGAAGCUCAUCUCUUGCUGCUUUUGGAUUUGUUUAUACCUAUAGGAAAAGUUCUCUCUUGAUUUAUCUUUAUCAUUGUUGAUAUAGAAAUUGAAUCAAAUACAACAUUGUUCCGUAUUGCUCUUUUUUUGUUCUUAUUUUUCAUUACAUACAUGUGUGAUCUAUUCUGGAUUAAAACCAGAAAACCCAAAUCUUCUAUUCUAUUUAAUGUUUGUGAUUUUGAAUUUUGCUCCAAUUCAUUUAGCUGAGAUCUUGUUUGCAUUGUCAAAAUGAAUUUUUCAGCUUUAGGUUAAAGAAGUUGCUCAAGUUGACGCAGAGUUGAUGUUUUUUAGUUGUAGUUUAGACAACUUUAUCAGUAAGCAAUGGACUUCUAUGUAACUAAUCCUGGGCCAAUUGAUGAAUCUGUACUUUAUGAUCAAGAUAAGCAUGUGUCAUCAGCAGUGUGGGAGGGGCAGGAGCGUGGUGCACUUAGAUGCCAUGAACACACUUCAAAACUUGAUCAAUGGGCACUCACUCCAAAACAGCUGGAGUUAGUACAUAAGGCUGGAUUUGGGUACUUAAGAUUAAUUCCUGCUAUUAGUUUAGACAAUCCACUUAUCUCUGCACUAGUUGAGAGGUGGAGGAGAGAAACAAAUACAUUUCACUUGAAUGUUGGAGAAAUGACAGUGACACUUGAAGAUGUUGCAUACUUGCUUGGACUAGCAAUUGAUGGUGAGCCUGUUAUGGGUGUAACAUACACCACAUGUGACACAGUAUGUGAAAAACUUUUAGGGAAAGCACCAGACUCUGGUUACACAAGUGGUGGGAUGGUGAAGUUAAGUUGGUUGAAAGAGUCCUUUUCUCAUUGUCCUGAAGACGCACCAAUGGAAGAGAUAGAGUGCCAUACACGUGCUUACCUGCUUUAUCUUGUUGGUAGUACUAUAUUUUCCACUACCACUGGCAAUAAAGUCCCUGUGAUGUACCUUCCAUUGUUUGAGAAUUUUGACCAAGCUGGGACGUAUGCUUGGGGUGCAGCAGCAUUAUCAUUCUUGUAUAGAGCACUUGGCAAUGCUUCCCUUAAAUCUCAAAGUACUGUUAGCGGCUGUUUAACACUAUUACAGUGUUGGAGUUACUAUCACCUGGAUAUUGGUCGACCAAAGCUUAAUCAAGACCCAUUCCAUGUUCCUUUUCCACUUGUACUUAGAUGGAAAGGAAAACAAAGUGCUCCAACAGCAAACCGUGAUUUAAUGUUCUAUCGUAAGGCAUUGGACUCCCUUAAGUCAUGUGAUGUUGAGUGGCUUCCUUACAUCAACAUUGACAAUAGGAUUAUACCAGAAGAUAUCAAGAGUAGUUUGAUUGUAGGGAGGUCAAAAACAAUGUUGAUAUGUUUUGACAAGGCAGAAAGACACCUCCCUGACCGAUGCUUAAGGCAAUAUGGCAUGAACCAGUCAAUCCCAGAAGAUGUGCAGCAGUGGGAAAGAAAGAGUCGUGGAGUUGAUGGUGGGGUAGACUUGUCAGGGAAAAUGGAACUAGAGCUUAAUGAAUGGUUGGACCGUCGACUUAAUAUUGUGGAAGGUGAUGAGGGUGUGGAAGAAAGUGAAUACAUGCAGUGGUACAUGAAAAUUACACGUAGAUUUGUAGGAAGACUUUUACCUUUAUCAUCCGAAUUUCAGAGAAUGCAUGCUGCUUUAAGGGAUAUUGCACACAUAGCUGAUACAGUCUCCACACAGGGGAUGGAUUCUCAGCAAAUGGAAUCAGUGACAAGGAUCAGGUAUAUUGUGCAUGAAUGUCUGAGGGACCAAGUUGGAACUUCAAUGCUAGUGUCGGGCAUCCCACAGGUUGAACAUAGGAAAAGAAUAAGGGGAAAAGAGAGAGUAAGAAGAAAGAGUAUUGGGAAACGUAAGCGGAAGGAUGAUCCAGUUCAAUGUCAAGCAACUAGUGAAGGUGAUCCAGAUCAAUCACAGCUGUGUAGUGCAGCUGGUGCGAUUGACUAUUCUCAGCUAUGUCUCACAGAUGGUGAGGUUGAUGAUUUACAGCUAUGUCAUGCAGGUAGUGCUGGUGUUGACGCACAGCUACACACAACUAUUGAGGUUGAUGGCACACCCCUUUGUCUUCCAACUGAUGAGGUUGAUGAUACAGAGACUUGUAUUGGAGUUACUGAGGUUGAUGACUCUCAGGUUUGUCAUGCGGCUAUGAAGGAUGAAGUACAAGCUGUUUCACAGUCACCUCUUGAAACUAGUGAGGAUGUUGUGCAGCAUAAUAGCUAUAGCAUUGUAGUAUAAGAAUGUGCAGCAUGUGGCCUCUGAUGUCAUAUUACUUCAGAAUCACUUAGAAAGGCAGCUCAGGAUGGACAUCACCAGUGUGUGAUAUGUGGCAGAGACAACCAUGAGUGCUUGCUCGGUUAGAAGUCUCUUCAACUUGUCUGAGAUUGGCUGUAAAUUUAUUUUGCCCGAAACAGAUGAGGUGUUGUUCUUGAGUUUAUUGUGUAAGCCACUAAGUAAUGUUCGAUAUUGCAGAAGGAUUUGGUUUCUUAUCCAAUCGUUUAAUUCUUAAA